RNAcentral lists this long non-coding RNA (766 nucleotides) under Numida meleagris (helmeted guineafowl). RNAcentral's name for it is "lncRNA (ENSNMEG00000001536.1)". Lineage: Eukaryota; Metazoa; Chordata; Aves; Galliformes; Numididae. The record is from RNAcentral.
CUAUGGGGUCGCUAUGGGGUCUCUGUGGGCUUUCAUGGGUCUCUGUGGGUCGCUAUGGGUCACUGUGGGUUGUUACGGGGUCUCUAUGGGGUUUCUGUGGGGUCUCUAUGGGGUCUCUGUGGGUUUCUAUGGGGUCUCUAUGGGUCUCUGUGGGUCUCUGUGGGUCGCUAUGGGGUCUCUAUGGGGUCUUUGUGGGGUGUUAUGGAGUCUAUGGGUUUCUAUGGGGUCUCUGUGGGUCUCUGUGGGUCGCUAUGGGUCUCUGUGGGUCGCUGUGGGUCUCUAUGGGUCCCAUGGGUCUCUAUGGGUCUCUAUGGGUUUCUAUGGGUCUCUAUGGGGUCUCCAUGGGUCUCUGUGGGUCGCUGUGGGGUCUGUGGGUCGCUAUGGGGUCUCUAUGGGUCUCUGUGAGGUCCCUGUGGGUCUCUAUGGGUCUCUGUGGGUCUCUAUGGGUCGCUGUGGGUCACUAUGGGUCAGUGUAGGUCGCUAUGGGUCACGGUGUGGGUCUCUAUGGGUCGCUGUGGGUUGCUAUGGGUCAGUGUGGGUCACUAUGGGUCGCUGUGUGGGUCGCUAUGGGUCGCUGUGGGUUGCUAUGGGUCUCUAUGGGUCUCUAUGGCUCUCUAUGGUCUCUGUGGGUCUCUGUGGGUUUCUGUGGGUCGCUAUGGGUCCCGCUAUGGGUCGCUGUGGGGCUGCCCCAUAGUACGCGUCGGUGGAGGAGGCGGCGGCGACGCGGGAGGCGCUGCACGGCGUCAGGUGGCCGCAGUCCAACCCC